GAAGUGGUGACGCCAGUUGCCAUGGAGCCGCUGUUGGGAUACCACCCUUGCAGUAUUGGAUUUCUAACCAGAGGCCGUAAGCCGGCCUGGGGACAAUGUCAGGUGGGGAGUUUGACUGGGGCGGUCGCCUCCGAAAGGGUAUCGGAGGCGCUCAAAGGUUCCCUCAGAAUGGACGGAAACCAUUCGGAGAGCGCAAAGGCAGAAGGGAGCUUGACUGCGACACCGACGGGUGGGGCAGGUACGAAAGUAGGACUUAGUGAUCCGGUGGUAUAAAGUGGGAUUGCCAUCGCUCAACGGAUAAAAGCUACCCUGGGGAUAACAGGCUUAUCACUCCCAAGAGUUCACAUCGACGGAGUGGUUUGGCACCUCGAUGUCGGCUCAUCGCAUCCUGGGGCUGAAGUAGGUCCCAAGGGUUGGGCUGUUCGCCCAUUAAAGCGGUACGCGAGCUGGGUUCAGAACGUCGUGAGACAGUUCGGUCC
RNAcentral lists this ribosomal RNA (479 nucleotides) under Clostridium sp. 1xD42-85. RNAcentral describes it as "bacterial LSU rRNA". It matches the Rfam family "Bacterial large subunit ribosomal RNA", at positions 2159 to 2637 of the family's 2925-position model. The record is from RNAcentral. Lineage: Bacteria; Bacillati; Bacillota; Clostridia; Eubacteriales; Clostridiaceae.